This is a long non-coding RNA of Physeter macrocephalus (sperm whale), 5881 nucleotides long. RefSeq lists it as uncharacterized. Lineage: Eukaryota; Metazoa; Chordata; Mammalia; Artiodactyla; Physeteridae. The transcript has 3 exons. The record is from RefSeq and is a predicted model, not a curated record.
CCGCCAGCUUUCUGGUAUAAAGGGUGACGCUGCUAAAAUGAUAAAGGAAAUAAAAAGGACAUUAGGGUACACUCUUCUUAGGAGAAUAUUUGGAUAAGAAAACCAGGGACAUCAUAGAUGAUUUUAAUAGUGCACGCUUGGGACUUCCCUGGUGGUCCAGUGGUAAAGAAUCCGCGUUCCAAUGCAGGGGAUGUGGGUUCGAUCCCUGGUCAGGGGACUAAGAUCCCACAUGCCAUGGGGCCACCAAGCCCAUGUGCCACAACUACUGAGCUCGUGCGCUUCAAUUAGAGAGCCUACGUACCGCAAACUACAGAGCCCACAUGCCCUGGAGCCUGAGUGCCACAACUAGAGACAAAACCCGCAUGUCAGAACUAGAGAGAAGCCCGUGUGCUGCAACGAAGAUCCCGCAUGCCGCAACUAAGACCCAAUGCAGCCAAAAAUAAUAAAAUAAAUAAGUAAUAAAUAAAUCUUAAAAAAAAUAGUGCAUUCUGCUUUAAUAAAUGUUAUGCCUAUUCAUCUUCAAUACCCAAGAGUUUUCUAUGUUCAGCUAGAAAGUUUUCUAAAACAGCCCCAACUAAUCUCACAGCAAAACUUCUUUAUUCUUGCAUAUCCACUUAAAACUUUUAUACCCAUUCUUUCUAAGUUAAAAAAGCUCUCAAUACCCCUUUACUUAUGGUAUCUAAAAUAUUACAUUUAUUUGAAAAAAAAGCAAUCCUCCUAAAAAUAAGGUCUAUACAUCAAACCUAUAUACAUAUAAUCCUCUGAUCCAUACUUUCUCCUAAUUCUCUGAAUGUUUUUCAAUUUCAUCACAGUAUCGGACUUGGAUUUUUACUAAGGGAAAUGGCUUGUCCUAUUUAUUAAACAUCUAGUUUAAUUUUCCCUUCUGUAUAUGCAUAUAUAAUAUAAGCAAUUCUUCUACACUGUUAAACACAAUCUCUUUUGAGUCCCCUAAGGUUAUGUAGUCUUUUCUGAAUGCCACCAUUAAUUUAUAAUUCUCAAGUUUCUUGUGAACUUUUUAUUCUACUUUUUAUUUCUAAGGCUGAGAAGGAUUCAUAAAAAUGCCAGAAUGACCAUGGAAUUCUCUAAACGAAUUUGGAAAUAAGUGGGGGAAAAAAGGUGGCGCCAUAAGAUAUCUAUACAACAAAAAAUUGAUCUACAAAACUGGCUGCAAUCUACAAAUUGAUAGAUAGAUCAGCUGCCCAGAAGGAAAUACAAAGAAUCAAGAGAAGGUGGCGGCGUAAGAUAUCUAUACAACAAUACUGAUCUACAAAACUGGCUGCAAUCUACAAAUUGAUAGAUCAGCUGCCCAGAGGAAAUACAAAGAAUCAAGAGUAUGGCAGGUGAUCGAAGAGAAGAAAGUAGUUACUACCAUGUUUCAUGUUUGAAUUUAAGGCAAUGCUAAUUGGGGUUUAAACUGGUUAUUCCUAGCAUCCUUGGGAAAAGGAGUCAGUGAAAGUAGUCUCUUCUAAAUAGUUUUAAAUUGGCACGUGUAGACAGAACGUAUUUUAGAAAGAGUUCAUCUAUAGACUAUAUGGAAUAUAACAAACCUUUAAUAAAAGUCAGGCUCAUCAAUAUCAGUUAUAGUAUCUACAGAUGCUUAUUUAGGUUUAUACUCUGAGAUAUUCUCAUAUCUGCAUAUAUGAGCAAUGCUGACUUACUGAAACAACAAACAUUUGUUUGGCUACUAGAAAAUUCUGGACAUUGCUGGAGACUGGAGAUUCAAGAGAGUAAUGGUCCCUGUCUUCCUGAAACCUAAUGUCUGCCUUCACAGCAUCUCCAAGAGUAGACUGUCUCAAGAAACCACUUUUUUGGCUCAACCAUAAGAAGCAACUCACCUGUUGAAGUUUUAUUAUGAGAUUGCAGCAAUUCAGUCACUCUUCAGACUGCGCUUCUAAUUCUAGUUCUCUUGCUAUUUCCACCACGUCUAUUUCCUUCACUGAAGUCUUGAACCCCUCAAAGUCAUACAUGAGGGCUGGGAAAUUAACUUCUUCCAAACUCCUGUUAGUGUUGAUAUUUUGACCUCUUCCAAUGAAUCACGAAUGUUCUUAUGGCAUCUAGAAUGGUGAAUCCUUUCCAGAAGAUUUUCAAUUUACUUUGCCCAGAUCCAUCAGAGGAAUCACUAUCUAUGGCGGCUACAGCCUUACAAAAUGUAUUUCUUAAGUAAUAAGACUUGAAAGUCAAAAUGACUCCUUGAUCCACGGGCUGCAGAAUGAUGCUGUGUUUGCAGGCAUGAAAACAACAUUAACCCUGUACAUCUCCAUCAGAGCUCUUGGUGACCAAAUGUUGUCAAUGAGCAGUAAUAUUUUGAAAGGAAUCUUUUUUUCUAAGCAGUAGGUCCCAACAGUGGGCAUAAAAUAAUAUAACUUUAUUGUGUGCAGCAGCCCUUUUCACACCAAGUAUUAGUUUUUCCAUGUGAAAUAAGUUAAGAUUUAAAAUGAUAAAGUUAUUGUUAAGGAGAUGCAUUGGGCAAUAGAAAAAGCUGAAGAGAGUUUUUGUCUGAAACUGGAAAACAGAACAGUCUGGAAAAAAAGGACCACACGUUGCUAAGACCAAAAAAGGAGCUUGGAGACCAUGCUGUAAUUAUGUUGUAAACAGAUGUGCUGUCAUCCAGGCUUUGUUGUUCCAUUUACAUUAUACAGUCAGAGUACAUUUAGUAGAUUUUAAGGGCCCUAAGAUUCCUGGAAUGGUAAAUGAGUACUGGCUUCAACCUAAAGUCACCAGCUGCAUUAGCCCCUAACAAGAGAGUCAGCCUGUCCCUUGAAGCCAGGCACUGACUUCUCUCUAGCUAUGACAAAAGUCCUAGAUGGCAUCUUCUUCCAAUAGAAAGCUGUUUCGUCUACACUAAAAAUCUGUCGUUUACUGUAGCCAACUUCAUUAAUUAUUUUAGCUAGAUCUUCUGGAUAACUUGCUGUAGCUUCUACAUCAGCACUUGUUGCUUCACUUUACACUUUUAUGUUAUGGAGAUGGCUUCCUUCCUUAAAUCUUAUGAACCAAUCUCUGCUGGCUUCAAACUUUUCUGCAGCUACCUUAUCUCUUUAGGCUUUCAUAGAACUGAAGAGAGUUAGGGCCUUCUCUGGAUUAGACUUUGCCUUAAGGGAACGUUGUGACCGGUUUAAUCUUCUAUCCAGGCCAUUAAAACUUUCUACAUAUGAGCAAGAAGGCUGUUUUGUUUUCUAAUCAUUUAUGUGUUCACCGGAGUAGCACUUUUAAUUUCCUUUAAAAACUUUUCCUUUGCAUUCAUAACUUGGCUAAGCAGCGCCUACCUUUUGGCCUAUCUCAGUUUUCAACAUGCCGUCCUCACUAAACUUAAUCGUUUCUAGAUUCUGAUUAAAGUGAGAGACACAACUUCUCCUUUCACUUGAACACUUAGAGACCAUUGCAGUGUUAUUAAAUGGCCUAAUUUCAAUAUUCGUUGUAUCUCAAGGAAUAGGGAGGCCUGAGGAAAGGGAGAGAAACUGGGGAACAGCUGGCAGAUUAAGUUUCGCCAUCUUACAUGGGCAUGGUUUGUGGCACCCAAGAACAAUUACAAUAGUAAUAUCAAAGAUCACUGAUCACAGAUCACUAUAACAAAUAUAAUAGUAAUGAAAAAGUCUGAAGUAUUGCAAGAAUUACCAAAGCGUGACACAGAGACAUAAAGUGAGCAGAUGUUGUUGGAAAAAUGGCACUGACAGGCUUACUCGACACAGGGUUGCCACAAACCUUCAAUUUGUAAAAAAUGCAGUAUCUUCAAAUAAAGUGAAGUGUGAUAAAACAAGGUAUGCCUGUGGUUGGUCCUAGUGAAAGGAUAUGAGAAGGAUCUGAGAAGACAAUGUGAGCAUAGCUCCUGCUUGCCAUCACAUACAUGAAUUAUAAAGGGCUACCCCAGAACUUCCAUACUGAUUUCUUGCCAGCUUAAAAGGUCAAAUUCCAGAUGUGAGGACAAGGUAACAGCUACAGCCCUCUGAAACAAACCAGUAGGCCUUUUUAGGUAAACACUAAGGUGAAACAUUUAGAAUGCUGGUCUGGUGAGAUGACCAUCUGUACUAAGAAAGAAUUCACAGGAAAGCAGACCUUGAGUAGAGAACUUUCACCUACAUGAGAAUAAGAAUCACCUAUGGAGUUUAUAAAUAUAGAUGCCCAGAUCCAGUGAGUCAGAGUGUAUGUAUGUGCAUUAUUUUAAAAAAUAUUUUGUUUUUCUAAUUGUAAUAUACUACAUGUAUUCACAUUCAAUUAGGGAAUCAAAGUUCCCUGGCUCAAAACCUGUCAAAGCUGUUCUUCUAUAUGUAAACUGACCCAGAUGUACAUAUGUGAAAAUAGAUAUUAUAGUUCUAUAAUUUGCCUUUUAAUAUAAUGUAAUGCAUCUCUGACAUUGUUCCAUAAAGGUCUCCAUUAUUAAGCUGCAUAGUAUGCCAUCUUGUAUGGACACACCAUACUCUAACCAUCCACCUAAUGAUGAAAAUUUGGGUUGUUUCCAAUUUUUUAUUAUUGCAAACACUGUUGCUUUGACCAUGGCACCUGCAUCUUUAAAAGCUCCUUAGGCAAUCUGAUGUACUCCUUGGAUAUAAGCCAUUGCUGUAAGAGGAUUGGCAGAAACUACAUUCCUCAGGUGAAAUUACACACAUUACUGCAGACAUAAAUCAACUCUCAUAGUUAGCUAAAAGGCAGGUGAACGUUUUACUUUCUCCAUAAAAAUUUGGAAUAAGGCUGAACAGUAAGUAAUAACUGAUGUUCCUGAAAACGAAACCUCUACAUCACAUUCAACAUCAUUCACUCUAGACCUUUUUUGUACUAGCAAUGAAACUGGAAGAGCACUGCCUGAAGGGUCCUCACAGUUCCUUUCACCAGAAGAAAGCUAGUAUGAGCACCAGAAGCAUGAUAUCUUUGCUGUCCUUGACCUCUCAAAACUUUAUGCUUAUAGGUAGUUAUAUAUAUUUACUGCAUAACUCAGUUUUCUCAUCUGUAAAAUAGGUGUAACAACUCUCAUGGAAUUCCUUUGAGGUGAGCUUUUAUGACCUUCUGGCAUUCAUUAUCUAUUUACAUAUUUGCAUAUAUGUCCUACUUCAUUAUUUACUGCUUUAAGCGUAAGGAUAACUCUCUGAAAUCCAGUGCAUUAGGAACUCAGUGAGAAAAUACCAUUUUUGUUCUAUGUAUAUGGCUGAAAUUCAUGGCUAGGUUUUUCUUUCUUUCUUUUUAAAAUUUAUUUUGGCUGUGUUGGGUCUCCGUUGCUGCGCACAGACUUUCUCUAGUUGUGGUGAGCAGGGGCUACUCUUCCCUGCGGUGCGUGGGCUUCUCAUUGCGGUGGCUUCUCUUGUUGUGGGGCACGGGCUCUAGGCGCACAGGCUUCAGUAGUUGCGGCAUGUGGGCCCUAGAGCGCGCGGCUCUAGAGUGCAGGCUCAGUAGUUGUGGAGCACAGGCUUAGUUGUUCUGUGGCAUGUGGGAUCUUCCCGGACCAGGGAUCGAACCCGUGUCUCCUGCAUUGGCAAGCGGAUUCUUAACCACUGUGCCACCAGGGAAGUCCCCUGGCUAGGUUUUUCAAAACAGCAGAGCAGCUCCAGAACACACUCAAGAAGGACCCAGGUGUGACUGGUAUGAAUGACCAAUAAUUAUAAAACAGAAACCAAGAUCUCAUUUCUGGAAGACUGAGAUAGAAGAGCUGCCAGAAACGGAGAAAUCACAUUUCAUAUACCUAAAGUGUAGGAAUUUCUUAUAUUCUUCCUUUUAUCUCACCCAGGCAGCAAAACAAAGUAAGAAAGCCCUUGCAGUAAAUGGCAAAAGGAAUCUAUGCUCCUAUGAAGACAGAUAAGAUAGGUGAGAAAAAGGAAGUAAAUUCUGGAUACAAACAAUGGAAAGUUUCAACAGAAUUAUUUGCAAAAGGAAUGUUAAGAUGUCUGAAGAACUACAU